RNAcentral lists this long non-coding RNA (339 nucleotides) under dengue virus type 2. RNAcentral's name for it is "Dengue virus type 2 partial sfRNA1". The stretch from base 243 to 314 matches the Rfam family "Flavivirus DB element". Lineage: Riboviria; Orthornavirae; Kitrinoviricota; Flasuviricetes; Amarillovirales; Flaviviridae. The record is from RNAcentral.
UAGAAGUCAGGUCGGAUUAAGCCAUAGUACGGAAAAAACUAUGCUACCUGUGAGCCCCGUCCAAGGACGUUAAAAGAAGUCAGGCCACUACAAGUGCCAUAGCUUGAGCAAACUAUGCAGCCUGUAGCUCCACCUGGGAAGGUGUAAAAAAUCUGGGAGGCCACAAACCAUGGAAGCUGUACGCAUGGCGUAGUGGACUAGCGGUUAGAGGAGACCCCUCCCUUGCAAGUCGCAGCAACAAUGGGGGCCCAAGGUGGGAUGAAGCUGUAAUCUCACUGGAAGGACUAGAGGUUAGAGGAGACCCCCCCGAAAUAAAAAACAGCAUAUUGACGCUGGGAA